This 69-nucleotide transfer RNA is filed under the name Bos taurus (domestic cattle). It matches the Rfam family "tRNA". From Rfam's summary of the family: Transfer RNA (tRNA) molecules are approximately 80 nucleotides in length. Their secondary structure includes four short double-helical elements and three loops (D, anti-codon, and T loops). Lineage: Eukaryota; Metazoa; Chordata; Mammalia; Artiodactyla; Bovidae. The record is from Rfam by way of RNAcentral. RNAcentral also lists the same sequence under 1 other name.
CCUGGUGGCUCAGAGGUUAAAGUGUCUGCCUCAAAUGCUGGAGACCCAGGUUUGAUCCCUGGGUCAGGA